RNAcentral lists this small RNA (4931 nucleotides) under Pongo abelii (Sumatran orangutan). RNAcentral's name for it is "processed transcript". The record is from RNAcentral. Lineage: Eukaryota; Metazoa; Chordata; Mammalia; Primates; Hominidae.
CGCGCACGGGUUGGUCUCUGCCCUAAUGCGGCGGCUGGCGGCGAGAGGCGCUGCAGGGGACGCGGGGGAAGUGGCGGCGCCGGCAGCGCACAGCUCGGACAGCGCCCAGGGCCGGAGCCCGAGCCCUUGGAGGUUGAUUGACUUAUGUGCAAUUUGGGACUCUGGAGUUUACCUUCCCUCCGCAGCCUGGAACGGAGCCUCCUCUGGUGUUGCAAGGAGGAGGCUGAAUGAGGCAGAGAAGCUGAGCUCUGUCCGGGAAGCCCAGUUAAAGCGGCUCGAGGUGACAAGACCCCGAGUGCUGGGGAGCAGGGAGCAGGGCCGGGUGCCGAGGAUGGCCAGGAAGCCACCACCGCCCUGGGUCCAUGCAGCCUUCCUCCUCUGCCUCCUCAGUCUUGGCGGAGCCAUCGAAAUUCCUAUGGAUCUGACGCAGCCACCAACCAUCACCAAGCAGUCAGUGAAGGAUCACAUCGUGGACCCCCGUGAUAACAUCCUGAUAGAGUGUGAAGCAAAAGGGAACCCUGCCCCCAGCUUCCACUGGACGCGAAACAGCAGAUUCUUCAACAUCGCCAAGGACCCGCGGGUGUCCAUGAGGAGGAGGUCUGGGACCCUGGUGAUUGACUUCCGCAGUGGCGGGCGGCCGGAGGAAUAUGAGGGGGAAUAUCAGUGCUUCGCCCGCAACAAAUUUGGCACGGCCCUGUCCAAUAGGAUCCGCCUGCAGGUGUCGAAAUCUCCUCUGUGGCCCAAGGAAAACCUAGACCCUGUCGUGGUCCAAGAGGGCGCUCCUUUGACGCUCCAGUGCAACCCCCCGCCUGGACUUCCAUCCCCGGUCAUCUUCUGGAUGAGCAGCUCCAUGGAGCCCAUCACCCAAGACAAACGUGUCUCUCAGGGCCAUAAUGGAGACCUAUACUUCUCCAACGUGAUGCUGCAGGACAUGCAGACCGACUACAGUUGCAACGCCCGCUUCCAUUUCACCCACACCAUCCAGCAGAAGAACCCUUUCACCCUCAAGGUCCUCACCAACCACCCUUAUAAUGACUCGUCCUUAAGAAACCACCCUGACAUGUACAGUGAUCCCUGCCUGGGGAGAAGGACUGCUGCUGAGUUGGCCUGCCCUGGGGGCCACACAAUGGCCUCUGGGAUCCCAACACAAGCUGCUCGGGAGUAGAUCUUGCACUGCUCAGACAGCCCCUCCCCGUUCCAGGGAAGGGGAGAUUCCCUGAACCUGAGGGAAGCUGGGCUCCUCCAGGCAGAUCCUUUCAGAACCUAGAGCUCCUCUCUCUCAUCCCGAGGAGUUGCAGAAAGAACACCAAGCUUCAUGUAUCCCCAGGGCACCGCGAGCAGCCAGAUGGUGCUUCGUGGCAUGGACCUCCUGCUGGAAUGCAUCGCCUCCGGGGUCCCAACACCAGACAUCGCAUGGUACAAGAAAGGUGGGGACCUCCCAUCUGAUAAGGCCAAGUUUGAGAACUUUAAUAAGGCCCUGCGUAUCACCAAUGUCUCUGAGGAAGACUCUGGGGAGUAUUUCUGCCUGGCCUCCAACAAGAUGGGCAGCAUCCGGCACACGAUCUCGGUGAGAGUAAAGGCUGCUCCCUACUGGCUGGACGAACCCAAGAACCUUAUCCUGGCUCCUGGCGAGGAUGGUAGACUGGUGUGUCGAGCCAAUGGAAACCCCAAACCCACUGUCCAGUGGAUGGUGAAUGGGGAACCUUUGCAAUCGGCACCACCUAACCCAAACCGUGAGGUGGCUGGAGACACCAUCAUCUUCCGGGACACCCAGAUCAGCAGCAGGGCCGUGUACCAGUGCAACACCUCCAACGAGCAUGGCUACCUGCUGGCCAACGCCUUCGUCAGUGUGCUGGAUGUGCCGCCUCGGAUGCUGUCGCCCCGGAACCAGCUCAUUCGAGUGAUUCUUUACAACCGGACGCGACUGGACUGUCCUUUCUUUGGGUCUCCCAUCCCCACACUGCGAUGGUUUAAGAAUGGGCAAGGAAGCAACCUGGAUGGUGGCAACUACCAUGUUUAUGAGAAUGGCAGUCUGGAAAUUAAGAUGAUCCGCAAAGAGGACCAAGGCAUCUACACCUGUGUCGCCACCAACAUCCUGGGCAAAGCUGAAAACCAAGUCCGCCUGGAGGUCAAAGACCCCACCAGGAUCUACCGGAUGCCUGAAGACCAGGUGGCCAAAAGGGGCACCACGGUGCAGCUGGAGUGUCGGGUGAAGCACGACCCCUCCCUGAAACUCACCGUCUCCUGGCUGAAGGAUGACGAGCCGCUCUAUAUUGGAAACAGGAUGAAGAAGGAAGAUGACUCCCUGACCAUCUUUGGUGUGGCAGAGCGGGACCAGGGCAGUUACACGUGUGUUGCCAGCACCGAGCUAGAUCAAGACCUGGCCAAGGCCUACCUCACCGUGCUAGCUGAUCAGGCCACUCCAACUAACCGUUUGGCUGCCCUGCCCAAAGGACGGCCAGACCGGCCCCGGGACCUGGAGCUGACCGACCUGGCCGAGAGGAGCGUGCGGCUGACCUGGAUCCCUGGGGAUGCUAACAACAGCCCCAUCACAGACUACGUCGUCCAGUUUGAAGAAGACCAGUUCCAACCUGGGGUCUGGCAUGACCAUUCCAAGUACCCCGGCAGCGUUAACUCAGCCGUCCUCCGGCUGUCCCCGUAUGUCAACUACCAGUUCCGUGUCAUUGCCAUCAACGAGGUUGGGAGCAGCCACCCCAGCCUCCCGUCCGAGCGCUACCGAACCAGUGGAGCACCCCCCGAGUCCAAUCCUGGUGACGUGAAGGGAGAGGGGACCAGAAAGAACAACAUGGAGAUCACGUGGACGCCCAUGAAUGCCACCUCGGCCUUUGGCCCCAACCUGCGCUACAUUGUCAAGUGGAGGCGGAGAGAGACUCGAGAGGCCUGGAACAACGUCACGGUGUGGGGCUCUCGCUACGUGGUGGGGCAGACCCCGGUCUACGUGCCCUAUGAGAUCCGAGUCCAGGCUGAAAAUGACUUCGGGAAGGGCCCUGAGCCAGAGUCCGUCAUCGGUUACUCCGGAGAAGAUUGCCUACUACUGGAGGGAGAGCAGCUUGCUGAAGAACCUGUGGGUGUCUCAGAAGAGACAGCAAGCCAGCUUCCCUGGUGACCGCCUCCGUGGCGUGGUGUCCCGCCUCUUCCCCUACAGUAACUACAAGCUGGAGAUGGUUGUGGUCAAUGGGAGAGGUGAUGGGCCUCGCAGUGAGACCAAGGAGUUCACCACCCCGGAAGGAGUACCCAGUGCCCCCAGGCGUUUCCGCGUCCGGCAGCCCAACCUGGAGACAAUCAACCUGGAGUGGGAUCAUCCGGAGCAUCCAAAUGGGAUCAUGAUUGGAUACACUCUCAAAUACGUGGCCUUUAACGGGACCAAAGUAGGAAAGCAGAUAGUGGAAAACUUCUCUCCCAAUCAGACCAAGUUCACGGUGCAAAGAACGGACCCUGUGUCACGCUACCGCUUUACCCUUAGCGCCAGGACACAGGUGGGCUCUGGGGAAGCCGUCACAGAGGAGUCACCAGCACCCCCGAAUGAAGCUUACACCAACAACCAAGCGGACAUCGCCACCCAGGGCUGGUUCAUUGGGCUUAUGUGCGCCAUCGCCCUCCUGGUGCUGAUCCUGCUCAUCGUCUGUUUCAUCAAGAGGAGUCGCGGCGGCAAGUACCCAGGUGAGACAUGCGAGAGGCGUGGGCUUGCAGGGCGGGGCACGUCCACCUUCCCGUGAGUCUCCAGGUCUCCAGCCAGAUCCGGGGAACGUGUUCUCUCAGUGAAGCCAGCCCUUGCCCAGCUUGGAAAUACAAUCCUCUUGCCUGUGCAUCUUCGGACUGCCAGCAAGCACUUGAGUUAAUUAAGUUCGCCUGAGUUGGGCGGAUGGCACAGUCCAGGCAGCCUCAGAGAGGGGAUGGAAGGAACCCUGGCUCCUAUUAAGAAUGACCUUUCCUCCCCUUGACUCACCACCCAUCUGCUCUAUAAAUUGGCUUUUUUUCAGCCUGAAUCUCAUUAGGAUCCUGUGUCCCAGGGAAGCAGAAAGGAAGAGAGGCAUUUUCCCUAACUGUGUCCCAGAGAAUGGGGAGAGGAGGGGCCUGGGCAGAAGCAGCACCCACAUGAGAGAGUUCCAGAGGUGGGCGCUCAGCAGGACAAUGGUGUAACCGCCGACACCACUAGCAAGGGUCAGAAGCGAGGACCAGGGAGAGGCUGAAGAUGGGUGGCACUGGUAGGGACCCCCGUGGCCCUAAAGCACUUUGGGCUUCCCUAAAAUCCCAAGGAUACCUCAAGAUCCUUCAGUCCCUGGCCAGGCACAAUGACUCACAUCUGUAAUCCCAGCAUUUCGGGAGGCCAAGGCGAGCAGGUCACUUAAGGUCAGGAGUUUGAGACCAGCCCAACCAACAUGACGAAACUCCAUCUCUACUAAAUAUACAGAAAUUAGCUGGGUGUGGUGGCAGGUGUCUGAGGUCCCAGCUAUUCAAGAGGCUGAGGUGGGAGGAUUACCUGAGCCUGGAGAGGUCAAGGCUGCCAUGAGCCGUGAUUGUGCCACUGCACUCCAGCCUGGGUGACAGAGUGAGACCCUGUCUCAAAUAAAUAAAUAAAAUUUUUUAAAAGAUCCUCCAGGCCGGGCGCAGUGGCUCACACCUGUAAUCCCAGCACUUUGCAAGGCCGAGGCAGGCAGAUCACUUGAGGUCAGGAGUUCGAGACCAGCCUGGCCAACAUGGUGAAACCCCAUCUCUACCAAAAAUACAAAAAAUUAUCUGGGUAUAGUGGCACACGCCUAUAAUCCCAGCUACUCAGGAGGCUGAGGCAGGAGAAUCACUUGAACCUGGGAGGCAGAGAUUGCAGUGAGCCAAAAUCGUGCCACUGCACUCCAGCCUGGGCAACAGAGCGAGACUCCGUCUCAAAAAAGGAAAAAAAAAAAAAAAAAAAA